This 775-nucleotide ribosomal RNA is filed under the name uncultured Neocallimastigales. Its description in RNAcentral is "partial large subunit ribosomal RNA". It matches the Rfam family "Eukaryotic large subunit ribosomal RNA", at positions 22 to 631 of the family's 3401-position model. Lineage: Eukaryota; Fungi; Neocallimastigomycota; Neocallimastigomycetes; Neocallimastigales. The record is from RNAcentral.
GUACACGCUGUGACUAGCAUAUCAAUAAGCGGAGGAAAAGAAACUAACUAGGAUUCCCUCAGUAACGGCGAGUGAAGCGGGAAGAGCUCAAAUUUGAAAUCUUCAAGGUUCUACCUUGACGAAUUGUAGUUUAAAGAAGUGUUUUCUGUUGGAGUUUUGGUAAAAGUUCUUUGGAAUAGGACAUCAUAGAGGGUGAGAAUCCCGUAUUUGACCAUUAUUUCCAGCUUUGUGAUACACUUUCAAAGAGUCGGAUUGUUUGGGAAUGCAGUCCAAAAUGGGUGGUAAAUUUCAUCUAAAGCUAAAUACUGGCGAGAGACCGAUAGCGAACAAGUACCGUGAGGGAAAGAUGAAAAGAACUUUGAAAAGAGAGUUAAACAGUACGUGAAAUUGUCAAAAGGGAAGCGUUUGACACCAGUGUUGUUUUCUCGAAAAUCAAUUAAAAAAGGCAGGAUUUUGUGUUGUAUUGACCUUUAUCAGCUUUCUGCACUCCUUUCCUGUCUUUUUUAAUGCACUUUUCGUUUAACAAGUCAACAUCAAUUUCUUUUGUUGUAAAAGGGUCAUUGGAAGGUGGCUUUCUUUUCGGAGAAAGUGUUUAUAGCCUUUGGCCUCUGCAAUCGGAGAGAUUGAGGUCUGCAGCGUAGAUCCUUCGGGGUUAGAUACAUUUGUGCUAAGUUAUAGCCUUUCAUAGACAACUUGUUGACUAUGAUCAGUCAUGUAGCUUACUCGCUUAUGCUAUUUUACCUACGCUUAGGAUGUUGAAGACUCUACAGAGAUA